RNAcentral lists this ribosomal RNA (426 nucleotides) under Triticum aestivum (bread wheat). RNAcentral's name for it is "partial small subunit ribosomal RNA". The record is from RNAcentral. Lineage: Eukaryota; Viridiplantae; Streptophyta; Magnoliopsida; Poales; Poaceae.
AUGGACAGGACAGCAAAUGUGGUUUUGGAUAUCGAGGGUCUGCCUCAACAACCUGAUAAAUGCUGCACUGGAAGUCCAAAGAUGACUAGAGCCCUGUCACGUAAGGGUCCAAACCGUGUGGAGAGGAGGGGCGGUGAAGAGCAGGAGCCAGAUGACUUGGGGAAAAAAGUUAUCAUUAAAGUUGUGCCAUCUCAGUUGGAGCAGAUCAAGUUGCCGCUAGUGCACAACAAAACUUUGGUCACUGCACAUUGCACUGCCACCGCACCUGUUCUGACUGACUCUGUUGAAGGAAGGACCAAGAGAUUUAAUCGACUCACGGCGUUUCAUCCGCGGAGAAUUCUUCUCUUCUUUGCAACUUUGUCAAGCGUCGGGACGAUGGUACUGAUAUACUUCACACUCGGCAUCAGCGGCAAGGUGGAAGCCUAG